UACGUAGGGUGCAAGCGUUGUCCGGAAUUAUUGGGCGUAAAGAGCUCGUAGGCGGUUUGUCGCGUCUGCUGUGAAAACUCGGGGCUUAACUCCGGGCCUGCAGUGGGUACGGGCAGACUAGAGUGCGGUAGGGGAGACUGGAAUUCCUGGUGUAGCGGUGAAAUGCGCAGAUAUCAGGAAGAACACCCGUGGCUAAGGCGGCUCUCUAGUACGGUACUGACGCUGAGACGCGAAAGCGUGGGGAGCGAGCAGG
This 253-nucleotide ribosomal RNA is filed under the name uncultured bacterium. Its description in RNAcentral is "partial 16S ribosomal RNA". It matches the Rfam family "Bacterial small subunit ribosomal RNA", at positions 524 to 776 of the family's 1533-position model. The record is from RNAcentral.